RNAcentral lists this ribosomal RNA (253 nucleotides) under uncultured bacterium. Its description in RNAcentral is "partial 16S ribosomal RNA". It matches the Rfam family "Bacterial small subunit ribosomal RNA", at positions 524 to 776 of the family's 1533-position model. The record is from RNAcentral.
UACGGAGGGUGCAAGCGUUAAUCGGAAUUACUGGGCGUAAAGCGUGCGUAGGCGGUUCGUUAAGUCUGCUGUGAAAGCCCCGGGCUCAACCUGGGAAUGGCAGUGGAUACUGGCGAGCUAGAGUGUGAUAGAGGAUGGUGGAAUUCCCGGUGUAGCGGUGAAAUGCGUAGAGAUCGGGAGGAACAUCAGUGGCGAAGGCGGCCAUCUGGACCAGCACUGACGCUGAGGCACGAAAGCGUGGGGAGCAAACAGG